Molecule: ribosomal RNA, 463 nt
Filed under: Boophis madagascariensis (Madagascar bright-eyed frog)
Lineage: Eukaryota; Metazoa; Chordata; Amphibia; Anura; Mantellidae
Description: partial 16S ribosomal RNA
Rfam family: Bacterial large subunit ribosomal RNA
Source: RNAcentral
UUGUUCUUUAAAUGAGGACUCGUAUCAACGGCAUCACGAGGAUCCUACUGUCUCCCCCCUCUAAUCGGUGAAACUGAUCUCUCCGUGAAGAAGCGGAGAUGUACAUAUAAGACGAGAAGACCCCAUGGAGCUUUAAACCCAACAACACCCGCCCCCCUCCAAAUCCUAUUAUUUACCCGGUGAUUGUUUGUUUGGUUUUAGGUUGGGGUGACCGCGGAGUAUAAGAUAUCCUCCAUGAAAAAAAGCUAACUGCCCUUAUUAGAGAAAGACACUUCCAAAAAAUAAUAAAUUAAUUUUAAAUGAUCCGACAUUCGAUCAACGAACCAAGUUACCCUGGGGAUAACAGCGCAAUCCGUCCCGAGAGCCCCUAUCGACAGGCGGGUUUACGACCUCGAUGUUGGAUCAGGGUAUCCCAGUGGUGCAGCAGCUACUAAAGGUUCGUUUGUUCAACGAUUAAAACCCU